GAUGAACGCUAGCGGCAGGCUUAACACAUGCAAGUCGAGGGGUAGAGGAAGCUUGCUUCCUUGAGACCGGCGCACGGGUGCGUAACGCGUAUGCAAUCUACCUUAUACAGGGGGAUAGCCCAGAGAAAUUUGGAUUAAUACCCCAUAGUAUAGUUGAAUGGCAUCAUUUGAUUAUUAAAGUUCCAACGGUAUAAGAUGAGCAUGCGUCCCAUUAGCUAGUUGGUGUGGUAAACGGCACACCAAGGCGACGAUGGGUAGGGGUCCUGAGAGGAGAUCCCCACACUGGUACUGAGACACGGACCAGACUCCUACGGGAGGCAGCAGUGAGGAAUAUUGGUCAAUGGGCGCAAGCCUGAACCAGCCAUGCCGCGUGCAGGAUGACGGUCCUAUGGAUUGUAAACU
Molecule: ribosomal RNA, 402 nt
Filed under: uncultured bacterium
Lineage: Bacteria
Description: bacterial SSU rRNA
Rfam family: Bacterial small subunit ribosomal RNA
Source: RNAcentral